GGAAUAUUGGACAAUGGGCGCAAGCCUGAUCCAGCUAUGCCGCGUGUGUGAAGAAGGCCUUCGGGUUGUAAAGCACUUUAAGUUGGGAGGAAGGUUCGAUGGUUAAUACCCAUCGGAAUUGACGUUACCAACAGAAUAAGCACCGGCUAAUUCCGUGCCAGCAGCCGCGGUAAUACGGAAGGUGCGAGCGUUAAUCGGAAUUACUGGGCGUAAAGCGCACGUAGGUGGCUUCUUAAGUCGGAUGUGAAAGCCCUGGGCUUAACCUGGGAAUUGCAUCCGAUACUGGGUGGCUAGAGUACGGUAGAGGGAGGUGGAAUUCCAGGUGUAGCGGUGAAAUGCGUAGAGAUCUGGAGGAACACCGGUGGCGAAGGCGGCCUCCUGGACUGAUACUGACACUGAGGUGCGAAAGCGUGGGGAGC
This 419-nucleotide ribosomal RNA is filed under the name uncultured bacterium. RNAcentral describes it as "bacterial SSU rRNA". It matches the Rfam family "Bacterial small subunit ribosomal RNA", at positions 358 to 769 of the family's 1533-position model. The record is from RNAcentral.